RNAcentral lists this ribosomal RNA (255 nucleotides) under uncultured bacterium. Its description in RNAcentral is "partial 16S ribosomal RNA". It matches the Rfam family "Bacterial small subunit ribosomal RNA", at positions 524 to 776 of the family's 1533-position model. The record is from RNAcentral.
UACGUAGGAGGCGAGCGUUGUCCGGAGUUACUGGGCGUAAAGGGUGCGCAGGCGGCGUGCCAAGUGGCGUGUGAAAUCUCCCGGCUCAACUGGGAGGGUGGACGCCAAACUGGCGCGCUUGAGGCUCGGCGGGGGGCGUGGAAUUCCGGGUGGAGCGGUGAAAUGCGUAGAGAUCCGGAGGAACACCGACGGCGUAGGCAGCGCCCCUGGACGAGACCUGACGCUCAGGCACGAAAGCUGGGGGGAGCAAACAGG